RNAcentral lists this ribosomal RNA (543 nucleotides) under Fusarium graminearum. Its description in RNAcentral is "eukaryotic LSU rRNA". The stretch from base 187 to 340 matches the Rfam family "5.8S ribosomal RNA". The record is from RNAcentral. Lineage: Eukaryota; Fungi; Ascomycota; Sordariomycetes; Hypocreales; Nectriaceae.
UAUUUCUGUCUCCGUUGGUGACCAGCGGAGGGUCAUUACCGAGUUUACAACUCCCAAACCCCUGUGAACAUACCUUAUGUUGCCUCGGCGGAUCAGCCCGCGCCCCGUAAAAAGGGACGGCCCGCCGCAGGAACCCUAAACUCUGUUUUUAGUGGAACUUCUGAGUAUAAAAAACAAAUAAAUCAAAACUUUCAACAACGGAUCUCUUGGUUCUGGCAUCGAUGAAGAACGCAGCAAAAUGCGAUAAGUAAUGUGAAUUGCAGAAUUCAGUGAAUCAUCGAAUCUUUGAACGCACAUUGCGCCCGCCAGUAUUCUGGCGGGCAUGCCUGUUCGAGCGUCAUUUCAACCCUCAAGCCCAGCUUGGUGUUGGGAGCUGCAGUCCUGCUGCACUCCCCAAAUACAUUGGCGGUCACGUCGAGCUUCCAUAGCGUAGUAAUUUACACAUCGUUACUGGUAAUCGUCGCGGCCACGCCGUUAAACCCCAACUUCUGAAUGUUGACCUCGGAUCAGGUAGGAAUACCCGCUGAACUUAAGCAUAUCAAA